GUUCCUAGCCACACGCACCAGUAACACAUCACAAUGAGGCUAGAGGCAGACACUCCUUCAUCCGCCCCAAUCUGCUUUCUCCGGAUCCAGUCAUCCAAGAAGAAGCCUCGCCCAAGCAGACACCUCCGUCUGGACCAGAGUACUAGACUCGCAGGGUUGCUGGAUGGACCCGUGAGAGACAGCUGGAGCUGGUGUCCAGACACCUCGGACGAUGGGCGUGAGAGGGAGGAAGGACCACCAUUACUUUAGUCUGAGAGAGAGGAUGGUUCGGCUGGAACAGGACCGGUGAGCACUUCCCAAAGUGGAGGCAGCACGAAGCAGGAGCUGGAAGAAGGAGACUCAGUCAGAUGAGAGUCUGAGGAAUGUGAAAGCCAAUCCAACCAAGA
Mus musculus (house mouse) is the source of this 386-nucleotide long non-coding RNA. RefSeq annotates it as predicted gene, 32696. The transcript is spliced from 3 exons. NCBI's taxonomy places the organism in Eukaryota, Metazoa, Chordata, Mammalia, Rodentia, Muridae. The record is from RefSeq and is a predicted model, not a curated record.